AAAUCAGCAGGGAAAGAAGACCCUGUUGAGCUUGACUCUAGUCUGACUUUGUGAAAUGACUUCAGAGGUGUAGGAUAAGUGGGAGCCAAAAGGAGAAAGUAAAAUACCACCACUUUUAACAUUAUUUUACUUAUUUCGUAAAUUGAAAGUGGGGCACUGCCCCUCUUUUUGGACCCAAGGCUCACUUUGCGGGCUGAUCCGAGCGAAAGACAUUGUCGGUGAGGAGUUUGGCUGAGGUGGCACAUCUGCUAAAAGAUAAUGAAGGUGUCCUAAGAUGAGCUCAACGAAAAUAGAAAUUUCGUGUGGAACAGAAGAGUAAAAGCUCAUUUGAUUCUGAUUUCUAGUACAAACACGAACCGUGAAAGUGUGGCCUAACGAUCCUUUAGACCUUUGAAAUUUGAAGCUAGAGGUGUCAGAAAAGUUACCAUAGGGAUAACUAGUUUGUGGCAGCCAAGCGUUCAUAACAACAUUGCUUUUUGAUCCUUCGAUGUCGGCUCUUCCUAUCAUUGUGAAGCAAAAUUCACCAAGUGUCGGAUUGUUCACCCACCAAUAGGAAAUGUGAGCUGGAUUAUGACUGAAUGCCGAUAGGCUAGUUUUAUCCUAUUAUGAUAGUGUCAAAGUAGUAAUUCAACCUAGUAUGAGAGAAACCAUUGAUUCACACAAUUUGUCAUCGCACUUGGUUGAAAAGCCAGUGGCGUGAAGCUACCAUGUGUUGGAUUAUGACUGAAUGACUCUAAGUUAGAAUUUGGGCUAGAAGUGAUGAGCGCAUCUACCAUUCACUUGCUGACCCGCAGUAGGGGCCUCAUGGCCC
RNAcentral lists this ribosomal RNA (811 nucleotides) under Olea europaea subsp. europaea. Its description in RNAcentral is "LSU_rRNA_archaea". It matches the Rfam family "Eukaryotic large subunit ribosomal RNA", at positions 2391 to 3209 of the family's 3401-position model. The record is from RNAcentral. Lineage: Eukaryota; Viridiplantae; Streptophyta; Magnoliopsida; Lamiales; Oleaceae.